Molecule: non-coding RNA, 21 nt
Filed under: Caenorhabditis elegans
Lineage: Eukaryota; Metazoa; Nematoda; Chromadorea; Rhabditida; Rhabditidae
Source: RNAcentral
UGAUUGCUUUUUGAAUUACCA